UGUUGAUGGUGUGGAUAAUCCCAAAGAAGAUAUUUGAAUCUCUCUCAUACCUAAUAAAGUUUCUCAUCUGGAUUCUGCUUAAAACUCAAAAUCUCACUACGUAAUGU
Molecule: small nucleolar RNA, 107 nt
Organism: Capsicum annuum
Lineage: Eukaryota; Viridiplantae; Streptophyta; Magnoliopsida; Solanales; Solanaceae
Source: RefSeq, a predicted model, not a curated record